RNAcentral lists this long non-coding RNA (736 nucleotides) under Actinidia chinensis (golden kiwifruit). Its description in RNAcentral is "long non-coding RNA (ACHI_LNC009250)". Lineage: Eukaryota; Viridiplantae; Streptophyta; Magnoliopsida; Ericales; Actinidiaceae. The record is from RNAcentral.
UAAUAGUAUUUAAUAAUAUUAAUAGCUAAUAUGGUUAUAAAAUGAUUUUUUUAAAAUUUUGGGUGGUGUUGGCUUGCCUCUUGGGUCUGCCUUGAGAAUUUAAUCUGAAAAAAAUAAGAAUCGGUUGAUUUAAUUUUGUUUUCAGAAUUUUUAUUGCUAAAUGCAGAAUAGUUUUCAAAAAAUAAUGUUUGUUGAUAGUUUUAGUAACUUUUUUCAAGAGUUUUAAAAAUUAAUUUAUUUGUUUUAAAAAUUAUAUCUUUAAAUUCUGAAAAUUAUUUAAUAAAAAACGAAUAAUAAAUGAAAGUAAUGAAUGUUUUUGUUUUUGAAAAUGUUUUUUAAAAAACAUAUGCAAAAUUAACUCAAAUAUUUGAUGUGGGGUGAUGGGUAUUUGCAUUUGAAGGACAAAAAGGUGAAAUGAAUAAAAUAUUAAUAUUGCUCAGCUGAUCUCCCCGCGUUGGACGGGACAAUAUAAUGCAGCAUAUUAGGCCCAAAAUAGGCCCCGUUUUCUAAAUUAGGUCCACCAUUCAUUUUUAGGUGAAUGUAGGAGUGUAUGGUUUUGAGAGAGAUUAUGGGUGUUUUGUUUUGGAGAUAAGAAUGUCGAAUUUAAUAUAAAUCAUGUGAGGUUAAGUGUUGAGGUUACUAAUAUGGUGUUUGUUUUUGAGGUUGGAUAUGUAAUCGAUUUGUAAUUCAUUAAAUUUGCUGAAUUUAUAAUACUACUCACCUUUAUUAUUACAAA